Non-coding RNA from Russula vinacea, 72 nucleotides. The record is from the annotation of a GenBank genome assembly. Lineage: Eukaryota; Fungi; Basidiomycota; Agaricomycetes; Russulales; Russulaceae.
GGUAGGAGUAGCUCAGUGGUAGAGCACCUGGUAUAUAACCAGAAGACUUGGGUUCAAUCCCCAGUCUGGUCA